This 275-nucleotide ribosomal RNA is filed under the name Porphyromonadaceae bacterium. RNAcentral describes it as "partial 23S ribosomal RNA". It matches the Rfam family "Bacterial large subunit ribosomal RNA", at positions 2639 to 2925 of the family's 2925-position model. The record is from RNAcentral. Lineage: Bacteria; Pseudomonadati; Bacteroidota; Bacteroidia; Bacteroidales; Porphyromonadaceae.
UAUCUGCCGUGGGCGUUGGAGAAUUGAAAGGGGCUGCUCCUAGUACGAGAGGACCGGAGUGGACGCAUCCCUGGUGUUCCAGUUGUUUCGCCAGAAGCAUUGCUGGGUAGCUACAUGCGGAAGAGAUAAGUGCUGAAAGCAUCUAAGCACGAAGCUUGCCUCAAGAUUAGAUCUCAUUAUAAGGGUGGUUAUAGACGAUGACCUUGAUAGGCUACAGGUGUAAAGGCGGUGACGUCAUAGCCGAGUAGUACUAAUUGCCCGAAAGUUUUUGCCUG